RNAcentral lists this small RNA (143 nucleotides) under Microvirga sp. BSC39. RNAcentral's name for it is "Alphaproteobacterial sRNA BjrC1505". It matches the Rfam family "Alphaproteobacterial sRNA BjrC1505". Lineage: Bacteria; Pseudomonadati; Pseudomonadota; Alphaproteobacteria; Hyphomicrobiales; Methylobacteriaceae. The record is from Rfam by way of RNAcentral.
AGGGCGUUUAACCGCGCAUUAACCAUUUUCAAGCAUGAAUAAGGCAUCCAGGUCUCUCCCUGGAUGUCGAGUGGCUCAGAGGCCCACUCUGUUUGACGCUUCCCUGUUAGACUUCAAGAGCCGCCAUGAGCGGCUCAAUUUUU